AGCGAACGCUGGCGGCAGGCUUAACACAUGCAAGUCGAGCGGGCAUAGCAAUAUGUCAGCGGCAGACGGGUGAGUAACGCGGGGGAACGUACCUUUUGGUUCGGAACAACUGAGGGAAACUUCAGCUAAUACCGGAUAAGCCCUUACGGGGAAAGAUUUAUCGCCGAAAGAUCGGCGCGCGUCUGAUUAGCUAGUUGGUGAGGUAAUGGCACACCAAGGCGACGAUCAGUAGCUGGGCUGAGAGGAUGAUUAGCCGCAUUGGGACUGAGACACGGACCACACUCCUACGGGAGGCAGCGGUGGGGAAUAUUAGACAAUGGGAGCAAGCCUGAUCCAGCCAUGCCGCGUGAGUGAUGAAGGCCGUAGGGUUGUAAAGCUCUCUUGUGCGGGAAGAUAAUGACGGUACCGCAAGAAUAAGCCCCGGCUAACUUCGUG
RNAcentral lists this ribosomal RNA (435 nucleotides) under uncultured bacterium. Its description in RNAcentral is "partial 16S ribosomal RNA". It matches the Rfam family "Bacterial small subunit ribosomal RNA", at positions 29 to 507 of the family's 1533-position model. The record is from RNAcentral.